CACUUUCUCCCAUCACACUCAGGUGGGACCAUCCAGUUUCAGGAAAACAAGCUUAACACGCCCACUGAUUCUACAUUAUGAUUCUUCAGGCCCAGCAUCUGCCUCACUGUGGACCCCCCAAGCCAAGCUCCCAACCUUUCAGCAGCUUCUACACACCCAGCUCCCGCCUGCCAGUGGCCUCUUCAGGCCCAUGGGGCUCAUUCCUCACAACAGCCUUUCCAGUCCCAGUUUUUCCCUUCCGGCGGCCUCUCCGGGCUGAGAACCUCCUCAAGUCGGCCUCUCCAGACUCACUUGCACCCUCCAGGCGUCCUCUCCGGGCCAAGCUCCUCUUCCUGGCUGCGUCUCCAGGCCUGACUCCUGCCUCUCAACAACCUCUUUGGACUCAGUGCCUACCCAUCUCCUGGCGUCCUUGGUCGGCCCACAGCUUCCUCAAGCCAAGCUCCCCAGGCCCAGGUCAGGCCUCACGGUGCCCCCUCCACGAUGAGCUCCUGCCCUCCAAUGGCACCUGCAGGACCCAAAUGGUCUCCGGUCGGUGGGCUCCUCCACGCCAAGCUUGGGCCUCCCGGUGACCUCUGCAGGCCCAAAUUGUCCUGAAGUCGGCAUCUCCCAGCCAUGCCUCCCAGCAAGUAAGCAAGCUCUUUUGGCUCAACUCCUGCCCAGCUCCCAACCGCCUUUGUAGGUCCCGAACUUUCUCCAGCCAAGUUCUUUGGGCCUCAUUCCUGCCGCCCGGUGGCCUGUACGGGCCCAGCAAUGGUUGGAGAACGGCCUCUGCAGGUCCCGCUCUUGCCUCCCAGGGGCCUCUCCAGGCCCAGCUCUUGCCCCCACGGCGGCCACCUGGGGCCAAGUCCCUGCCUGCCUCCCAGCAGCCCACAUGCGGCCCAGCUCCUCCCUCACGGUGGCCUGUUGAUGCCCAUGCCUCUGGUACCCUGCCCAGAGGCAUGAGCCCCUGCCACACACUGGCUCCUCCCACGCUGAGAGAGGUCAGCGUGAGCCCUUGCCUCACACCGGCCCCUCCCAUCCUGAGAGAGGUCAGCGUGAGCCCCUUGACUCACACUGGCUCCUCCCACGCUGAGAGAGGUCGGCGUGAGCCCUUGCCUCACACCGGCCCCUCCCAUGCUGAGAGAGGUCGGCGUGAGCCCUUGACUCACACCGGCCCCUCCCACGGUGAGAGAGGUCAGCGUCAGCACCUUGCCUCACACCGGCCCCUCCCACGCUGAGAGAGGUCGGCGUGAGCCCUUGCCUCACACCGGCCCCUCCCACGCUGAGAGAGGUCAGCGUCAGCCCCUUGCCUCACACCGGCCCCUCCCACGCUGAGAGAGGUUGGCGUCAGCCCCUUGCCUCACACCGGCCCCUCCCACGCUGAGAGAGGUCAACAUGAGCCCCUUGCCUCACACCGGCCCCUCCCACGCUGAGAGAGGUCGGCGUGAGCCCUUGCCUCACACCGGCCCCUCCCACGCUGAGAGAGGUCAACAUGAGCCCCUUGCCUCACACCGGCCCCUCCCACGCUGAGAGAGGUCGGCGUGAGCCCUUGCCUCACACCGGCCCCUCCCACGCUGAGAGAGGUCAACAUGAGCCCCUUGCCUCACACCGGCCCCUCCCACGCUGAGAGAGGUCAACAUGAGCCCCUUGCCUCACACCGGCCCCUCCCACGCUGAGAGAGGUCGGCGUGAGCCCUUGCCUCACACCGGCCCCUCCCACGCUGAGAGAGGUCGGCAUGAGCCCCUUGCCUCACACCGGCCCCUCCCACACUGAGAGGUCGGCAUGAGCCCCUUGCCUCACACCGGCCCCUCCCACGCUGAGAGAGGUCAGCGUGAGCCCUUGCCUCACACCGGCCCCUCCCACGCUGAGAGAGGUCGGCAUGAGCCCCUUGCCUCACACCGGCCCCUCCCACGCUGAGAGAGGUCGGCAUGAGCCCCUUGCCUCACACCGGCCCCUCCCACGCUGAGAGAGGUCGGCGUGAGCCCUUGCCUCACACCGGCCCCUCCCACGCUGAGAGAGGUCAGCGUGAGCCCCUUGCCUCACACCGGCCCCUCCCACGCUGAGAGAGGUCAGCGUGAGCCCCUGCCUCAACAGGCCACCGUGAGGGAGGAGCAGGUUUGUACGCGGGCUGCUGUGAGGCAGGCAGCGACUUGGGCCUGGGAGGUCGUGGUGGGGUGAGAGCUGGGCUUGGAGACUCCCCUGGGAGGCAACAGCGGGGCCUACAGACUCUGUUCUCCAGCCGGAGCUGGGACUGUUCAGGUACUGGGAGGUGGGAUGUGGGUCUGAAGAGCUUGGUUGCAGAAACUUCGGGGUCUACAAACGCAGGCGGGAGCUGAGCCAAAAAAGCUUGUUUGCUGGGAGGCGGGAGAUGCAGCCAGGAGAAACAGCUGUGCCUGCAGAGGCCGCCAUGCGGGAGGCGGAGGCCGGGCCUCCUCAAAUCGGCCUCUCCAGACCAACUUGCAGCCUCCCGGCAUCCUCUCCGGGCCCAGCUCUUCCUCCCGGCUGCGUCUCCAGGCCUGACUCUGGCCUCCCAACAACGUCUUUGGACUCAGCUCCUGCCCAGCUCCCAGCAGGCCCAAGUUGUCGUCAAGUCGGCCUGGAAUUGGGCCCGGAAGAGCAGCAAGUCGGCCUCCCCGGGCCCAGCUCCGUCCUCUCGGCGGCCUCUCCAGGUGCAAAACUUCCUCGAGUCAGCCUCUCCAGGCCCAGCUCCUCCUGCCUCCCAGUGGCCUCUUUCAGCCCAGACCAGCUCAUGGCUCUUGGCGGCCUUCCCAGGCCCCGCUUUUGACUUUUGGUGGCCUCUUCAGGCCCAGAACUUGACCUCCAGUGGGCCUUUGCAGGCCCGGCCUCCUGCCUCUCGAAGGCCUGCACGGGCCCGGACUCACAGCGGACUCACAGCGGACUCUCCAUGCCCAGCUAGCUCUCGCCUCAUUGCGGCCUCCCGAGUCCAAAGCUCCUGCCUCUCGGCCGCUUCGGCAGGCCCAGCUCCCGCCUGCCAGUGGCCUCUUUAGGCCCAGCUCAUUCCUCACAACGGCCUUCCCAGGCCCCGUUUUUCCCUUCUGGCAGCCUCUUGGCCUCUAAUUUGUUUAUCUUUUGUGUAUAAAUCCCAAAAUAUUGAAUUUUGGAAUAUUUCCACCAUUAUGUAAAUAUAUUGGUAGGUGAUUUA
Gorilla gorilla gorilla (western lowland gorilla) is the source of this 3142-nucleotide long non-coding RNA. RefSeq lists it as uncharacterized. Lineage: Eukaryota; Metazoa; Chordata; Mammalia; Primates; Hominidae. The transcript has 2 exons. The record is from RefSeq and is a predicted model, not a curated record.